UCACGGUUUGCACCGACCCUUUGCCAAAUGAUUUUUCACCCAAAAUAAUCGCCCUGUGAUGAUCUUGUAAAGCACCGGCCACAAUUUCAGAUGCAGAAGCCGAACCUUCAUUGAUAAUCACAACCAUCGGUAAACCUUCCGUCAUAUCACCGCUGUGCGCACUGUAUUUGACAUUGUCCGCUUCAUUGCGUGCACGGGUCGAAACAAUUUCACCCUCGCUCAAAAACAAAUCCGAUACCGCAACAGCCUGAUCGAGCAAGCCUCCGGGGUUGUUACGUA
This 279-nucleotide non-coding RNA is filed under the name bovine gut metagenome. The record is from RNAcentral.